UUCAACAUACUAAACACCACUAAUACAUAUGUUUUUGUUCUUUUUACAGGUGUUGAGGAAAAAAGCCCAGAGUUUCAAGAACCUCGGGAUUUGAGGUCAAAUCCUUUUCAAGGGGGAGGGAAUGAUGCAAUCCUACCCCAUAAGGGCAUUGGAUAGAAAACUCCAAGUAGAUUGGGUCAGAGAUGCAAUAGAAGGCCCUAGGGUUCUUAUGAGCCUUAGGGUAGAUUUCGGGCCCAUGGGCUAAGUACGAGUCCACUUAUCUUUGUAAAUAUUAGAUUAAGGUUUCAUUAUUUUUGGGCCUUGUAUUUAGGACUCCAUAAUGUAGGUAGGGUACCCUAGAAAUAUAGAAUUUUUUAGCCCUUGUAUUUUAGGGCACCUAGACUAGUUUUUGUAUUAGGGGUAGUUUUGUAAUUUGACAUGCACUAAGUGAAUAUUUGAUGUGUGUUGGGAAAUAAAUUUAAUUGAAUUGGUAGAAGCCUAAUCCAAUUAAAUUUUAGAGGGGGAGGUGAGCAUUUUCUUACUACACCCCAUUGCCACAUCAUAUAGUCACACUUUGUGCAUGUCCUUCAUGCUUUACAUGCCUCAUGACACCUAAGCACACUUAGUGGAGAAUCUUAGAAUUGAUCUUGGAUUAGUGGGCUGAAUCAUAA
Molecule: long non-coding RNA, 650 nt
Filed under: Glycine max (soybean)
Lineage: Eukaryota; Viridiplantae; Streptophyta; Magnoliopsida; Fabales; Fabaceae
Description: long non-coding RNA (GMAX_LNC004110)
Source: RNAcentral